AUGUGGACCCCGCCCGCUUCCCUUAUCCGCUCCCAUCCCUGGUGAGAAGGCUGCGGGCCGUCCCCGCCGCCGGCCACUUGCAUCCUCCUCUUCCUCCGCCGCUGGCGGACACUUGCAUCCUCCUCCUCUGCCCGCCACUUGCAUCUCCGUCCCUGCGGAUACGCUGCCGCACGCCAAUUACAUGCUCCCUUUCCCUCUUUUAGCUCUGGCGAACCACCGCGUCGUCUCCAACUCCGGCGAACUACCGCGGCAGCCGCACCCACCGGCACUCUACGACACGCUCGUAUGCCCAUGUUGCCCGCCAUCCAGUCCUCUCUUCGAACUCCGGCGUCCAGCAUUUCCACCGACCGCUGGCGAGUUUCACAAGCUCUCACGUCUGGAGGCGCAGAUCAAGAUUUCUCUCUCCUCUGUGGCAUCCCACACUUAUUUGCAGAAUGCUAUUCUUCGCAGGUUGUGCGUGCCGUCCCCAUGCGUGCACUUCAAGAUCCGCUUCUCCGUCGACGGCAUUGGUUUUACAUUUUUGCUUGUUUCCCUUUCCUGGUUAUUCAGUUAACGAACUGCUUGAGGCGAAGGUUGGCUGAUGGCUACGCUGUGCAUCUGGUUCAGCCCGGAUGCUAAUGUUCAGCAUUGUUUCACUGAUUAUAUGAGUUUGACUAUCGCACUGUUUGGGACGCUGUCAAAGUUAAUUGGGCAACUGCUAUAGGAUUUUAUCAAUACAUGAUGCUAAUUUUGUUUUC
Panicum hallii is the source of this 737-nucleotide long non-coding RNA. RefSeq lists it as uncharacterized. Lineage: Eukaryota; Viridiplantae; Streptophyta; Magnoliopsida; Poales; Poaceae. The transcript has 2 exons. The record is from RefSeq and is a predicted model, not a curated record.